GGACUACACGGGUUUCUAAUCCUGUUUGCUCCCCUAGCUUUCGUUCCUCAGCGUCAGUUGUGGUCCAGCGCGCCGCUUUCGCCACGGGUGUUCCUGCAGAUAUCUACGCAUUUCACCGCUACACCUGCAAUUCCACGCGCCUCUCCCACACUCGAGCACAGCAGUUUCGGAAGCAGCCUUUGAGUUAAGCCCAAAGAUUUCACUCCCGACUUGCCACACCGCCUACGAACCCUUUACACCCAGUAAUUCCGAACAACGCUGGCCCCCUACGUCUUACCGCGGCUGCUGGCAC
Molecule: ribosomal RNA, 292 nt
Filed under: uncultured Acidobacteriota bacterium
Lineage: Bacteria; Pseudomonadati; Acidobacteriota
Description: uncultured Acidobacteria bacterium partial 16S ribosomal RNA
Source: RNAcentral